This 470-nucleotide ribosomal RNA is filed under the name uncultured Methanosaeta sp. RNAcentral describes it as "bacterial SSU rRNA". It matches the Rfam family "Archaeal small subunit ribosomal RNA", at positions 871 to 1337 of the family's 1478-position model. Lineage: Archaea; Methanobacteriati; Methanobacteriota; Methanomicrobia; Methanotrichales; Methanotrichaceae. The record is from RNAcentral.
UUGACGGGGAGCACCACAACGGUGGAGCUUGCGUUUAAUUGGAUUCAACGCCGGAAAUCUUACCGGGACCGACAGCAAUAUGAAGGCCAGGCUGAAGACUUUGCCGGAUUAGCUGAGAGGUGGUGCAUGGCCGUCGUCAGUUCGUACUGUGAAGCAUCCUGUUAAGUCAGGCAACGAGCGAGACCCACGCCCACAGUUGCCAGCGUACUCUCCGGAGUGACGGGUACACUGUGGGACCGCCGCUGCUAAAGCGGAGGAAGGAAUGGGCAACGGUAGGUCAGUAUGCCCCGAAUAUCCCGGGCUACACGCGAGCUACAAUGGUUGGUACAAUGGGUAUCUACCCCGAAAGGGGACGGGAAUCUCCUAAAACCAAUCUUAGUUCGGAUUGAGGGCUGCAACUCGCCCUCAUGAAGCUGGAAUCCGUAGUAAUCGCGUUUCAACAGAACGCGGUGAAUACGUCCCUGCUCCUU